RNAcentral lists this ribosomal RNA (259 nucleotides) under uncultured bacterium. RNAcentral describes it as "partial 16S ribosomal RNA". It matches the Rfam family "Bacterial small subunit ribosomal RNA", at positions 524 to 777 of the family's 1533-position model. The record is from RNAcentral.
UACGUAGGGUGCAAGCGUUGUCCGGAAUUAUUGGGCGUAAAGAGCUCGUAGGCGGUCUGUCGCGUCUGCUGUGAAAACUCAGGGCUUAACCCUGAGCUUGCAGUGGGUACGGGCAGACUAGAGUGUGGUAGGGGGAGACUGGAAUUCCUGGUGUAGCGGUGAAAUGCGCAGAUAUCAGGAGGAACACCGGUGGGCGAAGGCGGGGUCUCUGGGCCGUAACUGACGCUGGAGGCGCGAAAAGCGUGGGGAGCGAACAGGG